AGAGUUUGAUCCUGGCUCAGAACGAACGCUUGCGGCGCGCCUAAUACAUGCAAGUCGAACGAGGUAGCAAUACCUAGUGGCGCACGGGUGAGUAACACGUGGAUAAUCUGCCCUUCAGUGGGGGAUAACCAUCCGAAAGGAUGGCUAAUACCGCAUGAGACCACAGUCCCUGUGGGGACAGAGGUUAAAGAUUUAUCGCU
This 200-nucleotide ribosomal RNA is filed under the name uncultured bacterium. RNAcentral's name for it is "partial 16S ribosomal RNA". It matches the Rfam family "Bacterial small subunit ribosomal RNA", at positions 8 to 219 of the family's 1533-position model. The record is from RNAcentral.